GGGGGGCGGCGAUAGUACAUGUGGCGUGCUACGACGGAAACCACUCCAGUUGGGCAUACUCUCUUCGCCUAAAAGAGAAUUGCAUUGAGUGGCUCUUUCUAAAAGGCGUGGCCUCAGUUCGGAUUGUUCUCUGCAACUCGGGAACAUGAAGUUGAAAUCGCUAGUAAUCGCGGAUCAGCAUGCCGCGGUGAAUAUGUACCCGGGCCCUGUACACACCGCCCGUCACACCCUGGGAAUUGGUUUCGCCCGAAGCAUCGGACCAAUGAUCACCCAUGACUUCUGUGUACCACUAGUGCCACAAAGGCCUUUGGUGGUCUUAUUGGCGCAUACCACGGUGGGGUCUUCGACUGGGGUGAAGUCGUAACAAGGUAGCCGUAGGGGAACCUGUGGCUGGAUUGAAUCCUUC
This 406-nucleotide non-coding RNA is filed under the name Triticum urartu. RNAcentral describes it as "Bacterial small subunit ribosomal RNA". It matches the Rfam family "Bacterial small subunit ribosomal RNA", at positions 1211 to 1533 of the family's 1533-position model. The record is from Rfam by way of RNAcentral. Lineage: Eukaryota; Viridiplantae; Streptophyta; Magnoliopsida; Poales; Poaceae.